GAACCAGCCAAUCAGAGCAAGCGAGGCGGGAUGGGCUCAACCAAUCAAAUCAGCGUGCCUGAUUAAAUCGGAAAACAGCUGAAGUCCCUCUGAAUCAGUCCAACACUCCUCCUUCCUUCAGCCUUUUCCUCCCACACUCCACUAUCCACAUUCAAAA
Molecule: long non-coding RNA, 157 nt
Organism: Neoarius graeffei (lesser salmon catfish)
Lineage: Eukaryota; Metazoa; Chordata; Actinopteri; Siluriformes; Ariidae
Exons: 2
Source: RefSeq, a predicted model, not a curated record